RNAcentral lists this transfer RNA (86 nucleotides) under Sandaracinaceae bacterium. Its description in RNAcentral is "tRNA-Asp". The stretch from base 11 to 85 matches the Rfam family "tRNA". From Rfam's summary of the family: Transfer RNA (tRNA) molecules are approximately 80 nucleotides in length. Their secondary structure includes four short double-helical elements and three loops (D, anti-codon, and T loops). Lineage: Bacteria; Pseudomonadati; Myxococcota; Polyangiales; Sandaracinaceae. The record is from RNAcentral.
AGCCCCGAGCGCAGUUGUUGGCGGGCCAGCACAGAGCGCCCGCCUGUCAAGCGGGGGAGCGGAGGUUCGAGUCCUCCCGAUGGCUU